RNAcentral lists this ribosomal RNA (510 nucleotides) under Triticum aestivum (bread wheat). RNAcentral's name for it is "partial small subunit ribosomal RNA". Lineage: Eukaryota; Viridiplantae; Streptophyta; Magnoliopsida; Poales; Poaceae. The record is from RNAcentral.
AUGAGUAGUUGCUAUCAAUCUUACAAAGUUUUGUUGACAAAUUUUUGUCACUCCAAAAUUUGUAUUUUCAGAAAAUUGUACGCGGACAUGAUGAACCUAUUUGGAAGGAGUUCUUUGAGUAGACGAUCCUCGGGGGCAUCUUCUAGUGACAGUUUCGCCCGUCGGUCUUAUGUUGAACCAAGUGAAAGUUCCACGCGAGAUGCCGCCACCAAGACAUGUUUAUGGCCUAGCGAUGAAUAUAUGGUGCGUGUGGGCAUUAAGGAGGAAUUUGAGCAACAUGUUCACAAUCCCGGCCUCGGUCCCUGCCUAUCAGAUAAGUGCGCACAACACCAACUUCUCACUGAAUCAUUUGUCAAGGAUUUAAAUAUUUUCCAUGUGAGUCUAGGGUGUCAUUUAUGCUUUAUGAUAAUCCUUAUACUAUCCCACUGGAGAAUUUUGCUUACCAUUGCAAACUGCCAUUUUGGGGUUCACUUGAUGAGCCACCAACGGUUGAGUACGAGUCUUUCUUGA